Molecule: ribosomal RNA, 484 nt
Filed under: uncultured bacterium
Lineage: Bacteria
Description: SSU rRNA
Rfam family: Bacterial small subunit ribosomal RNA
Source: RNAcentral
AGAGCGAACGCUGGCGGCGUGCUUAACACAUGCAAGUCGAACGCGCAGCAUUCUGUAGCAAUACAGGGUGUGGGCGCGUGGCGAACGGGUGCGUAACACGUGGAUAACCUUCCUUGAGGUGGGGAAUAACCCAGUGAAAAUUGGGCUAAUACCGCAUAACAUCGCGAUGGCACAUGCUGAUGCGAUCAAAGGCGCAAGUCGCCACAAGAGGGAUCCGCGGCCGAUUAGCUUGUUGGCGAGGUAAUGGCUCACCAAGGCAAUGAUCGGUAGCCGGACUGAGAGGUUGGCCGGCCACACUGGAACUGAGACACGGUCCAGACUCCUACGGGAGGCAGCAGUGGGGAAUCUUGCACAAUGGACGAAAGUCUGAUGCAGCAACGCCGCGUGGGGGAUGAAGCUUCUCGGAGUGUAAACCCCUUUCGACCCGGAAGAAUGCCCGCAAGGGUAUGACGGUACGGGUAUAAGAAGCCCGGCUAACUACGUG